Molecule: ribosomal RNA, 304 nt
Filed under: uncultured bacterium
Lineage: Bacteria
Description: partial 16S ribosomal RNA
Rfam family: Bacterial small subunit ribosomal RNA
Source: RNAcentral
CAGCAGCAGCCGCGGGAAUACGAAGGGGGCUAGCGUUGUUCGGAUUUACUGGGCGUAAAGCGCACGUAGGCGGACUUUUAAGUCAGGGGUGAAAUCCCGGGGCUCAACCCCGGAACUGCCUUUGAUACUGGAAGUCUUGAGUAUGGUAGAGGUGAGUGGAAUUCCGAGUGUAGAGGUGAAAUUCGUAGAUAUUCGGAGGAACACCAGUGGCGAAGGCGGCUCACUGGACCAUUACUGACGCUGAGGUGCGAAAGCGUGGGGAGCAAACAGGAUUAGAUACCCGGGUAGUCCCUGUCUCUUAUAC